UUAGCACAAAAGUUUCCAGCACAAGUUUGGAUCUUUACCAUUGAGGGUGGCUGACUGUUCUCAACCAACCAUCAUUCAUACGCAAAAACUUUAAAGAUAAGUAUGAACGUGCCCAGAGCAGUUUUUGAUCUUUACCAUUAAGGAGGCUGACUGACUAUCCUCUGCCACCCAACAUUAACACAACAAAAACUAAAGAAAUGUUACUCCAUAUGGACCUAUUCAUUUACUCAUUAUGCUGUGAGUACACCACAGUUUUAUCAGUGAAAAAUUUAUAUUUGUGUGUUUUCUCACUGCUUGGCAAGGACAGAUGUGGCCCUGUUAAAAAUAUUUAAAUGUUGUUUGGUUUAAGGAACAGCACACUGAUUUUGUUUUAAAAUAUUCCUGUUUGGACAGUCUGUUAAAGUCAUAAAGGAAUGGUUGAUAUAUUUCAUAAGGAAAGUGUAAAUGUAAUAUUAGUUUUUAAUGUUGUGAAUUUGGACUGAACAGCACACUUCUGUUUUAUAUCUAAACCUUUUGUAAAAUAAAUGAUUGUUUAAUAAA
This is a long non-coding RNA of Paramisgurnus dabryanus, 540 nucleotides long. RefSeq lists it as uncharacterized. The record is from RefSeq and is a predicted model, not a curated record. Lineage: Eukaryota; Metazoa; Chordata; Actinopteri; Cypriniformes; Cobitidae.